RNAcentral lists this transfer RNA (85 nucleotides) under Felis catus (domestic cat). It matches the Rfam family "tRNA". Rfam says of the family: Transfer RNA (tRNA) molecules are approximately 80 nucleotides in length. The record is from Rfam by way of RNAcentral. Lineage: Eukaryota; Metazoa; Chordata; Mammalia; Carnivora; Felidae.
GCUUGGGUGGUUCAGUUAGUUGAGCGUCUGACUUCAGCUCAGGUCAUAAUCUCAUAGUUCAUGGGUUCAAGCCCCAUGUCAGGUU